CCUACGGGGGGCUGCAGUGGGGAAUAUUGGACAAUGGGGGGAACCCUGAUCCAGCCAUGCCGCGUGUGUGAAGAAGGCCCUCGGGUUGUAAAGCACUUUCAGUGAGGAAGAACGCCUGGUGGUUAAUACCCAUCAGGAAAGACAUCACUCACAGAAGAAGCACCGGCUAACUCCGUGCCAGCAGCCGCGGUAAUACGGAGGGUGCGAGCGUUAAUCGGAAUUACUGGGCGUAAAGCGCGCGUAGGUGGCUUGAUAAGCCGGUUGUGAAAGCCCCGGGCUCAACCUGGGAACGGCAUCCGGAACUGUCAAGCUAGAGUGCAGGAGAGGAAGGUAGAAUUCCCGGUGUAGCGGUGAAAUGCGUAGAGAUCGGGAGGAAUACCAGUGGCGAAGGCGGCCUUCUGGACUGACACUGACACUGAGGUGCGAAAGCGUGGGUAGCAAAUAGGAUUAGAUACCCCAGUAGUC
This 465-nucleotide ribosomal RNA is filed under the name Vreelandella stevensii. RNAcentral describes it as "partial 16S ribosomal RNA". It matches the Rfam family "Bacterial small subunit ribosomal RNA", at positions 338 to 795 of the family's 1533-position model. Lineage: Bacteria; Pseudomonadati; Pseudomonadota; Gammaproteobacteria; Oceanospirillales; Halomonadaceae. The record is from RNAcentral.